This 1343-nucleotide ribosomal RNA is filed under the name Limosilactobacillus fermentum. RNAcentral's name for it is "bacterial SSU rRNA". It matches the Rfam family "Bacterial small subunit ribosomal RNA", at positions 53 to 1354 of the family's 1533-position model. The record is from RNAcentral. Lineage: Bacteria; Bacillati; Bacillota; Bacilli; Lactobacillales; Lactobacillaceae.
ACAUGCAGUCGAACGCGUUGGCCCAAUUGAUUGAUGGUGCUUGCACCUGAUUGAUUUUGGUCGCCAACGAGUGGCGGACGGGUGAGUAACACGUAGGUAACCUGCCCAGAAGCGGGGGACAACAUUUGGAAACAGAUGCUAAUACCGCAUAACAGCGUUGUUCGCAUGAACAACGCUUAAAAGAUGGCUUCUCGCUAUCACUUCUGGAUGGACCUGCGGUGCAUUAGCUUGUUGGUGGGGUAACGGCCUACCAAGGCGAUGAUGCAUAGCCGAGUUGAGAGACUGAUCGGCCACAAUGGCACUGAGACACGGCCCAUACUCCUACGGGAGGCAGCAGUAGGGAAUCUUCCACAAUGGGCGCAAGCCUGAUGGAGCAACACCGCGUGAGUGAAGAAGGGUUUCGGCUCGUAAAGCUCUGUUGUUAAAGAAGAACACGUAUGAGAGUAACUGUUCAUACGUUGACGGUAUUUAACCAGAAAGUCACGGCUAACUACGUGCCAGCAGCCGCGGUAAUACGUAGGUGGCAAGCGUUAUCCGGAUUUAUUGGGCGUAAAGAGAGUGCAGGCGGUUUUCUAAGUCUGAUGUGAAAGCCUUCGGCUUAACCGGAGAAGUGCAUCGGAAACUGGAUAACUUGAGUGCAGAAGAGGGUAGUGGAACUCCAUGUGUAGCGGUGGAAUGCGUAGAUAUAUGGAAGAACACCAGUGGCGAAGGCGGCUACCUGGUCUGCAACUGACGCUGAGACUCGAAAGCAUGGGUAGCGAACAGGAUUAGAUACCCUGGUAGUCCAUGCCGUAAACGAUGAGUGCUAGGUGUUGGAGGGUUUCCGCCCUUCAGUGCCGGAGCUAACGCAUUAAGCACUCCGCCUGGGGAGUACGACCGCAAGGUUGAAACUCAAAGGAAUUGACGGGGGCCCGCACAAGCGGUGGAGCAUGUGGUUUAAUUCGAAGCUACGCGAAGAACCUUACCAGGUCUUGACAUCUUGCGCCAACCCUAGAGAUAGGGCGUUUCCUUCGGGAACGCAAUGACAGGUGGUGCAUGGUCGUCGUCAGCUCGUGUCGUGAGAUGUUGGGUUAAGUCCCGCAACGAGCGCAACCCUUGUUACUAGUUGCCAGCAUUAAGUUGGGCACUCUAGUGAGACUGCCGGUGACAAACCGGAGGAAGGUGGGGACGACGUCAGAUCAUCAUGCCCCUUAUGACCUGGGCUACACACGUGCUACAAUGGACGGUACAACGAGUCGCGAACUCGCGAGGGCAAGCAAAUCUCUUAAAACCGUUCUCAGUUCGGACUGCAGGCUGCAACUCGCCUGCACGAAGUCGGAAUCGCUAGUAAUCGCGGAUCAGCA